This 426-nucleotide ribosomal RNA is filed under the name Pholcus khaolek. RNAcentral describes it as "partial 16S ribosomal RNA". It matches the Rfam family "Bacterial large subunit ribosomal RNA", at positions 1829 to 2597 of the family's 2925-position model. Lineage: Eukaryota; Metazoa; Arthropoda; Arachnida; Araneae; Pholcidae. The record is from RNAcentral.
UUCUCUAAGAAAACAAUUAGAGUAAAACCUGCUCAAUGUUCAAUAAAUGGCCGCAGUCAACCUGUGCUAAGGUAGCAUAAUAAUUUGCUUCUCAAUUAGAAGAUAGAAUGAACGGUUAAACACUUAAACAAAUGUCUCUUAAGAAUAAAACUAACUUAAGUCAAAAGUAAAAACUCUUUUACAUAUAAGUGGGACGACAAGACCCUAAUAAACUAUCCUUUUAGUUGGGGAAACAUUUUAAUUAACCUUUAAAACAUCAACAACCAAACAUCACCAUAAUAUAAAGAAAAGUUACUAUAGGGAUAACAGCGCAAUUUCUCUCAAAAGACCACAUCUAAAGAGAAGAUUACGACCUCGAUGUUGAAUUAGUCAUCCCAAUGCGGCGCAAAAGCCUAUAAGGGUAGUCUGUUCGACUAUUAAAAACCU